GGAAGAAGGCAGCAAAGCAGAUGUGAAUGCUCAAGAUAAUGAAGACCAUGUCCCACUCCAUUUCUGUUCUCGAUUUGGACACCAUGAUAUAGUUAAGUAUCUGCUGCAAAGUGAUUUGGAAGUUCAACCUCAUGUUGUUAAUAUCUAUGGAGAUACCCCCUUACACCUGGCAUGCUACAAUGGCAAAUUUGAAGUUGCCAAGGAAAUCAUCCAAAUAUCAGGAACAGAAAGUCUGACUAAGGAAAACAUCUUCAGUGAAACAGCUUUUCAUAGCUUUCCCAGUAACCAGUAGAAAUCAGAAUUUCAGAUAAGUAUUUCAACAAAUCUGUGUGCAAAAUUUGUCUAUAAAAAUCUUAUUUCCUUGCAUCUUGAAAUUUAUUAAUUUUUCCACAAAUACUUUCUCACACCUGGAAAGAACUGAUAAUGAAAGGUCCUCUACAAUUUGUAAUGUGAUUCUAUAAGCAUUAAUUCACUUGAAAUUUCACCAACAAUUUGGCACAUUGAUAGGGUAUUGUCUAUUAUAGUUUUAUAGAUGGUAAAACUAAAACUCACAGAGGUCAAAGAACUUGU
Molecule: small RNA, 570 nt
Filed under: Pan troglodytes (chimpanzee)
Lineage: Eukaryota; Metazoa; Chordata; Mammalia; Primates; Hominidae
Description: processed transcript
Source: RNAcentral